GUGCCAGCAGCCGCGGUAAUACGUAGGGGGCAAGCGUUGUCCGGAAUUAUUGGGCGUAAAGCGCGCGCAGGCGGUCGAUUAAGUCUGGUGUAUAAACCAAGGGCUCAACCUUUGGUCGCAUUGGAAACUGGUCGACUGGAGUGUAGGAGAGGAAAGUGGAAUUCCACGUGUAGCGGUGAAAUGCGUAGAGAUGUGGAGGAACACCAGUGGCGAAGGCGACUUUCUGGCCUAUAGCUGACGCUGAGGCGCGAAAGCGUGGGGAGCAAACAGGAUUAGAUACCCUAGUAGUCC
RNAcentral lists this ribosomal RNA (291 nucleotides) under uncultured bacterium. RNAcentral describes it as "partial 16S ribosomal RNA". It matches the Rfam family "Bacterial small subunit ribosomal RNA", at positions 505 to 796 of the family's 1533-position model. The record is from RNAcentral.